GAUGAACGCUGGCGGCGUGCCUAAUACAUGCAAGUCGAGCGAACGGACGAGAAGCUUGCUUCUCUGAUGUUAGCGGCGGACGGGUGAGUAACACGUGGAUAACCUACCUAUAAGACUGGGAUAACUUCGGGAAACCGGAGCUAAUAACGGAUAAUAUUUUGAACCGCAUGGUUCAAAAGUGAAAGACGGUCUUGCUGUCACUUAUAGAUGGAUCCGCGCUGCAUUAGCUAGUUGGUAAGGUAACGGCUUACCAAGGCAACGAUGCAUAGCCGACCUGAGAGGGUGAUCAGCCACACUGGAACUGAGACACGGUCCAGACUCCUACGGGAGGCAGCAGUAGGGAAUCUUCCGCAAUGGGCGCAAGCCUGACGGAGCAACGCCGCGUGAGUGAUGAAGGUCUUCGGAUCGUAAAACUCUUUUAUUAGGGAAGAACAUAUGUGUAAGUAACUGUGCACAUCUUGACGGUACCUAAUCAGAAAGCCACGGCUAACUACGUG
RNAcentral lists this ribosomal RNA (497 nucleotides) under uncultured bacterium. RNAcentral describes it as "partial 16S ribosomal RNA". It matches the Rfam family "Bacterial small subunit ribosomal RNA", at positions 28 to 507 of the family's 1533-position model. The record is from RNAcentral.